CGGAUAGAGCCAGCGAAGUCGCUCGUAUUCAGCCAAAGGCCCGGGGCUCAUCGUCGUCGUGUUUCUAAUCGAGCACGGCGGCGACUCUGCUCUGGGUUGAGGUGCAUUUGCGGGCGUUUGCGCUGAGACUUGCGAGGCAGCUGCUGGACGGGCGUUCUAGAGGCUUCCCUAUGGGUUGAACCUGGAUGCUUUGACAGCUGUUUGCCUUGCUCGUACUGGUCUGGCCUACGAACCUGGGCUGUGUUGUUGCCAACGGACCAAGGCAUCGCAUGCGAUGUCUAGUCUUGGGGUUGCAGCAUGGUUUUGUGUUCCCAGAUCGCCUCUCGGUGUAGAAGCUGGUCAUCUCUCCGACCCGUCUUGAAACACGGACCAAGGAGUUUAGCGUAUGCGCGAGUCAUUGGGUGCACAAACCCACAGGCGCAAUGAAAGUAAAGGCUCGGUCGCCGGGCUGACAUGUGAGUGCCACGGCUUCGGCCUAGGCAUGCAGCAUGGUCCCGUUGCAGCCGCUUGCGGCGCAGCGGAGACAGAGCGUAUGCGCUGAG
This 542-nucleotide ribosomal RNA is filed under the name Mesocriconema ornatum. RNAcentral describes it as "eukaryotic LSU rRNA". It matches the Rfam family "Eukaryotic large subunit ribosomal RNA", at positions 386 to 813 of the family's 3401-position model. The record is from RNAcentral. Lineage: Eukaryota; Metazoa; Nematoda; Chromadorea; Rhabditida; Criconematidae.